CUUAGAGCCCAAAAGGACGCAGAAUUGGCUUAUUUUCUCCUGAACCGGGAUUCCUGUUUCAAUCUUGUAACAGCAGCUCUGUUCGUGCUCUGCAUCAGAAAACACUGGCUGAGGUUAAACUGGAGACACGAAGCUGCUGCCGGUCUCUUCACUUGCUGGUCUUUGUCAGCCUUCCCACCAUGUGUGAUAACUGCCCCUUCCCUAAUGUGCUGCAACCGUGUCCAAUUGUCUCCCCUGUGUCUGUGUAUAUAUAUUAGGGGUGACCCCGAAUAGUUGAAUAUUCGACUAUUCGAUGCUUCGAUCGAAGGAGCCUAAUUCGACUGCCAAUCUCCCAGUCAAAUCUUCGCAGAGGCAUUAUGAAAAGCACAAUGUCAGAUUUUAGAUAUUUACUACCCGUUUUCUCCCAGUAAGUUAAGCCUAUUAUAUGAAUAUCAAAA
This is a long non-coding RNA of Perca fluviatilis (European perch), 437 nucleotides long. RefSeq lists it as uncharacterized. NCBI's taxonomy places the organism in Eukaryota, Metazoa, Chordata, Actinopteri, Perciformes, Percidae. The record is from RefSeq and is a predicted model, not a curated record. The transcript has 3 exons.